Molecule: unclassified non-coding RNA, 400 nt
Filed under: uncultured fungus
Lineage: Eukaryota; Fungi
Description: sequence contains ITS1
Rfam family: 5.8S ribosomal RNA (bases 1-105)
Source: RNAcentral
AAACUGCGAAAAGUAAUGUGAACUGCAUACUUUGUGAAUCAUCGAAUCUUCGAAUGCACAUUGCGCCACGUGGCCUGGCCACCUGGCAUGCCUGUUUGAGUAUCACGCACACAUGUUUCCUUUCUCUUGCAAGAGAGAAUAGGCAGCGAGCUGAGAUCCAGAUGCCCAGCAUUUGCUUCUUCAAAGACAUGGCGUGGGGAGGCUUAUUAAGUUUGAGCCGCACUGAGAGUCCCGUUGCUUUUUUGGAUAAUUUCGAUUUCGAUCGUUCAAAAAGCUGCGGGGCAUGCAAGGAGCCACGCCGACAACGCGACAACCACAUCUGUGGUCGUCACAGCAACUGUGCAAUGGAUCGAAUCCAUUACACAGUCUGCGCAAUGAUCUCAAAUCAAGCAAGACUACC